UACGGAGGGAGCUAGCGUUGUUCGGAAUUACUGGGCGUAAAGCGCACGUAGGCGGCUUUUUAAGUCAGGGGUGAAAUCCCGGGGCUCAACCCCGGAACUGCCCUUGAAACUGGGAAGCUAGAAUCUUGGAGAGGCGAGUGGAAUUCCGAGUGUAGAGGUGAAAUUCGUAGAUAUUCGGAAGAACACCAGUGGCGAAGGCUACUCGCUGGACAAGUAUUGACGCUGAGGUGCGAAAGCGUGGGGAGCAAACAGG
This 253-nucleotide ribosomal RNA is filed under the name uncultured bacterium. RNAcentral describes it as "partial 16S ribosomal RNA". It matches the Rfam family "Bacterial small subunit ribosomal RNA", at positions 524 to 776 of the family's 1533-position model. The record is from RNAcentral.